AUUGAUUUUGGUCGCCAACGAGUGGCGGACGGGUGAGUAACACGUAGGUAACCUGCCCAGAAGCGGGGGACAACAUUUGGAAACAGAUGCUAAUACCGCAUAACAACGUUGUUCGCAUGAACAACGCUUAAAAGAUGGCUUCUCGCUAUCACUUCUGGAUGGACCUGCGGUGCAUUAGCUUGUUGGUGGGGUAAUGGCCUACCAAGGCGAUGAUGCAUAGCCGAGUUGAGAGACUGAUCGGCCACAAUGGGACUGAGACACGGCCCAUACUCCUACGGGAGGCAGCAGUAGGGAAUCUUCCACAAUGGGCGCAAGCCUGAUGGAGCAACACCGCGUGAGUGAAGAAGGGUUUCGGCUCGUAAAGCUCUGUUGUUAAAGAAGAACACGUAUGAGAGUAACUGUUCAUACGUUGACGGUAUUUAACCAGAAAGUCACGGCUAACUACGUGCCAGCAGCCGCGGUAAUACGUAGGUGGCAAGCGUUAUCCGGAUUUAUUGGGCGUAAAGAGAGUGCAGGCGGUUUUCUAAGUCUGAUGUGAAAG
Molecule: ribosomal RNA, 541 nt
Filed under: Limosilactobacillus fermentum
Lineage: Bacteria; Bacillati; Bacillota; Bacilli; Lactobacillales; Lactobacillaceae
Description: bacterial SSU rRNA
Rfam family: Bacterial small subunit ribosomal RNA
Source: RNAcentral